ACCUAGUUGAACUUGAGAUUUUGAUCUAAAUCUUAUGUUGUUUUUCUGAAUAUCUUGGUGCUGUCCAUGAGGGGGGUAGACUAUUUUUAUUUAAGAAACUCUAUCAAAGAGCCUCCUGAAGCCACCAGCGUUCCAGCCGCUCUACAGAUACUAAUUCAGUUAACCCUCCUGACAAUGCUGGGAACAGCAGCAGAAACUACUCUAGUGCCCAGUUUGUAGAUAAGAAAGUUAAGUAACCUACUGCUCACCACUCUGUAAUGCCUAUAUGGGAAAAGAAUCUUAAAAAAGUAGUGGAGGUAUACCUGAAACUAACACAACAGUUAAAAUUAAAACAACAACAACAAAAUUACUCCAGAGUCCACCUGUCAGUUUGAAAAGGAUUGACAGUUGUAUCUGAGCAUUAUGUGCUCAGAUAUUGGUUUGACACCAAGGGCACAGACAAUACUACCCAACCCUUGGUAGCUUGGUGGCAAGACAUCCAAAUACCUGGAGUCUCAGCUUUCUGUUGCCAGCCUGUGUGUUACCCAAGAGUUAGAGCCACGUCUUACCUGCCUUCCUCUGCAGAGCACCCUGGCAGCAAAAAGGGAAAGCUGGCAUCUGUAGUAGCCCUUCUCUUUAGGUGACACAAAAAUGACCUCUUGUUAUCUUUUACUGACUCCACAGCUGCUAUAGUAUUCGGUUAGCCAUGGUUACGAACUGGGUUUUGUGCUCCGAUGGGGUGUUUAAGAAUGAGAGCAAGUUUCUUCAGUGUUGUCAGCCCCUAUCUCUCCCAUGGCCUGCCCUCAUCUCACCUCUCACCCCUCCAAAUCAAGGCAUGUCUGAGCUCGGUCUGCCCAGGACUGUUGAUGAGCUUUCGCUUCUGCUUUGUUUCUGAACUAACACGUGUUCUUCAGAACGGCUCGCACGGCCCCAUGGGAUUAUGACAGCUCUCAGCCGAGCUCUGCCAGCUAUUAAUAGAAAUACUAUGAGG
This 970-nucleotide long non-coding RNA is filed under the name Bos mutus (wild yak). RNAcentral describes it as "lncRNA (ENSBMUG00000000721.1)". Lineage: Eukaryota; Metazoa; Chordata; Mammalia; Artiodactyla; Bovidae. The record is from RNAcentral.